UUUUCCACCGGAGCUUGCUCCACCGGAAAAAGAGAGUGCCGACCGGGUGAGUAACACGUGGGUAACCUGCCCAUCAGAAGGGGAUAACACUUGGAAACAGGUGCUAAUACCGUAUAACAAUCGAAACCGCAUGGUUUUGAUUUGAAAGGCGCUUUCGGGUGUCGCUGAUGGAUGGACCCGCGGUGCAUUAGCUAGUUGGUGAGGUAACGGCUCACCAAGGCGACGAUGCAUAGCCGACCUGAGAGGGUGAUCGGCCACAUUGGGACUGAGACACGGCCCAAACUCCUACGGGAGGCAGCAGUAGGGAAUCUUCGGCAAUGGACGAAAGUCUGACCGAGCAACGCCGCGUGAGUGAAGAAGGUUUUCGGAUCGUAAAACUCUGUUGUUAGAGAAGAACAAGGAUGAGAGUAACUGUUCAUCCCUUGACGGUAUCUAACCAGAAAGCCACGGCUAACUACGUGCCAGCAGCCGCGGUAAUACGUAGGUGGCAAGCGUUGUCCGGAUUUAUUGGGCGUAAAGCGAGCGCAGGCGGUUUCUUAAGUCUGAUGUGAAAGCCCCCGGCUCAACCGGGGAGGGUCAUUGGAAACUGGGAGACUUGAGUGCAGAAGAGGAGAGUGGAAUUCCAUGUGUAGCGGUGAAAUGCGUAGAUAUAUGGAGGAACACCAGUGGCGAAGGCGGCUCUCUGGUCUGUAACUGACGCUGAGGCUCGAAAGCGUGGGGAGCAAACAGGAUUAGAUACCCUGGUAGUCCACGCCGUAAACGAUGAGUGCUAAGUGUUGGAGGGUUUCCGCCCUUCAGUGCUGCAGCUAACGCAUUAAGCACUCCGCCUGGGGAGUACGACCGCAAGGUUGAAACUCAAAGGAAUUGACGGGGGCCCGCACAAGCGGUGGAGCAUGUGGUUUAAUUCGAAGCAACGCGAAGAACCUUACCAGGUCUUGACAUCCUUUGACCACUCUAGAGAUAGAGCUUCCCCUUCGGGGGCAAAGUGACAGGUGGUGCAUGGUUGUCGUCAGCUCGUGUCGUGAGAUGUUGGGUUAAGUCCCGCAACGAGCGCAACCCUUAUUGUUAGUUGCCAUCAUUUAGUUGGGCACUCUAGCAAGACUGCCGGUGACAAACCGGAGGAAGGUGGGGGAUGACGUCAAAUCAUCAUGCCCCUUAUGACCUGGGCUACACACGUGCUACAAUGGGAAGUACAACGAGUCGCAAAGUCGCGAGGCUAAGCUAAUCUCUUAAAGCUUCUCUCAGUUCGGAUUGUAGGCUGCAACUCGCCUACAUGAAGCCGGAAUCGCUAGUAAUCGCGGAUCAGCACGCCGCGGUGAAUACGUUCCCGGGCCUUGUACACACCGCCCGUCACACCACGAGAGUUUGUAACACCCGAAGUCGGUGAGGUAACCUUUUGGAGCCAGCCGCCUAGUGGAUAGAUGAUGGGUG
Molecule: ribosomal RNA, 1431 nt
Filed under: Enterococcus hirae
Lineage: Bacteria; Bacillati; Bacillota; Bacilli; Lactobacillales; Enterococcaceae
Description: bacterial SSU rRNA
Rfam family: Bacterial small subunit ribosomal RNA
Source: RNAcentral